AAAAAAAAAAAAAAAAAAAAAAAAGGAAGGGAUUCUCAUUGCAGAACAACGGUAGAAGUGCGAUCUUCGCAAAAACACCAGCAGAAAGUAUGGUGGCACAAGUGUAAAUUACAACAGAGCUGUCCUGUUUAAAAGACCAGGAACUAUCUCUCUGUUCAAUCCAGUAGCCAUUUCUCUCUCUCUCUCUCUUUCAGAAAAUGACUCCUACCCAUACUCAACUCACUAUACAAGGCAAUCCUAAGAUACUUCCAAGAGUAUCAGAAGAACACUCCAGAUAAAAGAAGAAGAAGAAAGGCCCUGCAACAAAU
This 308-nucleotide unclassified non-coding RNA is filed under the name Hevea brasiliensis (rubber tree). The record is from RNAcentral. Lineage: Eukaryota; Viridiplantae; Streptophyta; Magnoliopsida; Malpighiales; Euphorbiaceae.